This 440-nucleotide ribosomal RNA is filed under the name uncultured bacterium. Its description in RNAcentral is "partial 16S ribosomal RNA". It matches the Rfam family "Bacterial small subunit ribosomal RNA", at positions 338 to 795 of the family's 1533-position model. The record is from RNAcentral.
CCUACGGGGGGCAGCAGUGGGGGAUAUUGCACAAUGGGGGAAACCCUGAUGCAGCGACGCCGCGUGUGGGAAGACGGUCUUCUGGAUUGUAAACCACUGUCCCCAGGGACGAAAAUGACGGUACCUGGGGAGGAAGCUCCGGCUCACUACGUGCCAGCAGCCGCGGUAAUACGUAGGGAGCAAGCGUUGUCCGGAAUUACUGGGUGUAAAGGGAGCGUAGGCGGGGAUGCAAGUUGGGUGUCAAAACUACCGGCUCAACCGAUAGUCGCACUCAAAACUGCAGCUCUUGAGUGAAGUAGAGGCAGGCGGAAUUCCGAGUGUAGCGGUGAAAUGCGUAGAUAUUAGGAGGAACACCAGUGGCGAAGGCGGCCUGCUGGGCUGUGACUGACGCUGAGGCUCGAAAGUGUGGGGAGCAAACAGGAUUAGAUACCCCUGUAGUC